CCGGAGUUUGCCGAUCGGGCCACGGUACCGGCGCCAACAAUGUCGGAAACUGCUGAACGAAGCUGUCGAUUUCUAGAUGUUAGAAAAACAAAUGCGACGAGCGAAACGAUCGGGCCAUAAGAAACGAGGGAAAAACUGUGAUAAGGUUUUUACUACCGAAACCUUCUAAGGAUAGAACGGUUUAACUUUUCUUGUUCUUAAACAGUGCCUCUUAAUCCACUUGAGACCUAUGAAAAUAGAGUUUAUAUUUUUGGCUAAAGGUCAAUGUAUUAUUGACAGUGGAAGACAGGAGAUAUUUUGUUUGCUA
Molecule: long non-coding RNA, 307 nt
Organism: Bombus impatiens (common eastern bumble bee)
Lineage: Eukaryota; Metazoa; Arthropoda; Insecta; Hymenoptera; Apidae
Exons: 2
Source: RefSeq, a predicted model, not a curated record